UACAGGGGGGGGCGAGCGUUGUUCGGAAUUACUGGGCGUAAAGGGCGCGUAGGCGGCCAACUAAGUCAGACGUGAAAUCCCUCGGCUCAACCGGGGAACUGCGUCUGAUACUGGAUGGCUUGAAUUCGGGAGAGGGAUGCGGAAUUCCAGGUGUAGCGGUGAAAUGCGUAGAUAUCUGGAGGAACACCGGUGGCGAAGGCGGCAUCCUGGACCGAGAUUGACGCUGAUGCGCGAAAGCCAGGGGAGCAAACGGG
This 254-nucleotide ribosomal RNA is filed under the name uncultured bacterium. RNAcentral's name for it is "partial 16S ribosomal RNA". It matches the Rfam family "Bacterial small subunit ribosomal RNA", at positions 524 to 776 of the family's 1533-position model. The record is from RNAcentral.